RNAcentral lists this ribosomal RNA (1274 nucleotides) under Microbacterium oxydans. RNAcentral describes it as "bacterial SSU rRNA". It matches the Rfam family "Bacterial small subunit ribosomal RNA", at positions 23 to 1311 of the family's 1533-position model. Lineage: Bacteria; Bacillati; Actinomycetota; Actinomycetes; Micrococcales; Microbacteriaceae. The record is from RNAcentral.
UUCAGGAUGGAAGCUUGCGGCGUGCUAACCAUGCAGUCGAACCGGUGAUCAGGAGCUGCUCGUGGAAUCAGUGGGCGAACCGGUGAGUAACACGUGAGCACUGCCCUGACUCUGGGAUAGCGCUGCAAUCGCGUCUAUACCUGGAUAUGUGACGUGGAUCGCAUGGUCUGCGUCUGGAAAGAAUUUCGGUUGAGGAUGGGCUCGCGGCCUAUCAGCUUGUUGGUGAGGUAAUGGCUCACCAAGGCGUCGACGGGUAGCCGGCUGAGAGGGUGACCGGCCACACUGGGACUGAGACACGGCCCAGACUCCUACGGGAGGCAGCAGUGGGGAAUAUUGCACAAUGGGCGCAAGCCUGAUGCAGCAACGCCGCGUGAGGGACGACGGCCUUCGGGUUGUAAACCUCUUUUAGCAGGGAAGAAGCGAAAGUGACGGUACCUGCAGAAAAAGCGCCGGCUAACUACGUGCCAGCAGCCGCGGUAAUACGUAGGGCGCAAGCGUUAUCCGGAAUUAUUGGGCGUAAAGAGCUCGUAGGCGGUUUGUCGCGUCUGCUGUGAAAUCCGGAGGCUCAACCUCCGGCCUGCAGUGGGUACGGGCAGACUAGAGUGCGGUAGGGGAGAUUGGAAUUCCUGGUGUAGCGGUGGAAUGCGCAGAUAUCAGGAGGAACACCGAUGGCGAAGGCAGAUCUCUGGGCCGUAACUGACGCUGAGGAGCGAAAGGGUGGGGAGCAAACAGGCUUAGAUACCCUGGUAGUCCACCCCGUAAACGUUGGGAACUAGUUGUGGGGUCCAUUCCACGGAUUCCGUGACGCAGCUAACGCAUUAAGUUCCCCGCCUGGGGAGUACGGCCGCAAGGCUAAAACUCAAAGGAAUUGACGGGGACCCGCACAAGCGGCGGAGCAUGCGGAUUAAUUCGAUGCAACGCGAAGAACCUUACCAAGGCUUGACAUAUACGAGAACGGGCCAGAAAUGGUCAACUCUUUGGACACUCGUAAACAGGUGGUGCAUGGUUGUCCUCAGCUCCAGUCGUGAGAUGUUGGGUUAAGUCCCGCAACGCGCGCAACCCUCGUUCUAUGUUGCCAGCACGUAAUGGUGGGAACUCAGGGGAUACCGCCGGGGUCAACUCGGACGAAGGUGGGGAUGUCGUCAAAUCCUCAUGCCCAUUAUCUCCUGGGCUUCUCGCAUGCUACAAUGUCCGGCACAAAGGUCUGCAAUACCGUCAGGUGGAGCGAAUCCUCAAAAAGCCUGUAAGCAGCCCCGAGUGAACGUAUUUGGAAU